CCUGGUGUGUACCCGCCAGUUCACUAGAUCGGCAUGCGUCGGGGGCCAACCCCGGGGUGUGAAGCCUGAUCGACAAUGUCCCCUCUCGUCAGAGAAGCGCAAUCCGGUGACGGAGUGCGCGGUAUGUCCGAAUUGCACGGGCAUACGGGG
RNAcentral lists this non-coding RNA (150 nucleotides) under Azotobacter beijerinckii. The record is from RNAcentral. Lineage: Bacteria; Pseudomonadati; Pseudomonadota; Gammaproteobacteria; Pseudomonadales; Pseudomonadaceae.